CUUUUUCAUCAAGAGAGUGAAUGAGCCAGUUGGAGGGGAGGGGCUGUAAUCUGAGGUGACAGUGGCUGUUCUGUGAGAUAAUUUGUUUUUGUUGUUUCUAUUUUAAUGAAACAUGUACUAAGUACAAGAUCAAAGAAUUUAAAAGCAGUGACAUGUUCACUAUUAGGUAGUAAUUUUAUAUACUAAGAGGGUUUAGGUUAUAUCAUAUUUCCUACAAUUUCAAAUGUCUCCCUCUCCUGGGUGACUGGGGAGUCAUCGAUCAUCACAGGAAGAGGGAUCGAGACAAAGGCCCUGCUGGCCUCGUCCCCGGUUUGCCUAGUGCUCGGUUCAGAGGGGUUGUCUGUUAGCACCAACGGGAGGCAGUAGUUCCACAUUUCGCUCCCAAUCUGAAGGGAGGAGGAAGGGCUGUCUGUGAGCUGACGCAACGACAGAGGAGCAUCAGAGUGCAGGAUCCCGAGUCACGCGUGGCACCUGGUCUACUUCUCGGGAAGGUUUCACACGCUGGAAACCAGCCAUCUCAUCUUUAACAAGUGGAACUUAUCAAAGAAGAAAGGGUGGAAGAGGAGCUCCCAGGCCUGGCUUAUGAGUGUGGCCUUGAACACGUCCACAGACGUGUUGUUGUCCUGUUGAGUCUGCAGCCAGGAAGGCGGAACUCACUGCAGAGGGCAGGUGUGAACGUGCCGCUUCAGAGCCAGUGCUCUUUGAAGACGGAAAGUCAAGGACCCCAGUCCCUUCCAGGAAACAAGGACAUAAUUAUCACAACACCCCACUGGCCGGUGACCUUCAUUCCUCAGGCCCGCCCUACUCCCUCUGCUGGCACCAGCCCAGGUCCCCACAGCCUGAGCCCUGUGUCCAGACUGCUCAGAUCCAGAAGCAGCCCCCUUGCACACCCUUUGAAAGGGUUCUUAAUCUCUUUCUACUACGCUGCUCUCGCAACAUAAAUCCGCCAGCCUAGGGGCCUCUGAACCCCCGCGAAGGGAGGCCCAUCCAGGCCAGGAGAAGUCUGAGCCGCGGAGGCGUGGAAUUUAUAUUUCCUCUCACCUGCGCGUCUGUCUGUGGCCCCGACUCCAGUCUGUCGUUGGAGGUUUGAACAUAACCUCCCAGCUCCUUGCCAAGUCUGCCAUCAUCACCUCAGCCACAGAAGCUGACUCCUCAAGGCCACUGGAAUCCAGUAACAGGGACUCUCCACUUCAUUAUUAUGUUUGAAAUGUUGAAAGCAGAAGCCUAAUAAAAUGAGUUCAGAAAAAC
RNAcentral lists this long non-coding RNA (1248 nucleotides) under Equus asinus (donkey). RNAcentral describes it as "lncRNA (ENSEASG00005030214.1)". The record is from RNAcentral. Lineage: Eukaryota; Metazoa; Chordata; Mammalia; Perissodactyla; Equidae.